GCCGAAGUGGCGGAACUGGCAGACGCGCUAGGUUCAGGGCUUAGUGGCCGUAAGGUCGUGUCGGUUCGAAUCCGACCUUCGGCACCA
Molecule: transfer RNA, 87 nt
Filed under: Armatimonadetes bacterium CG2_30_59_28
Lineage: Bacteria; Bacillati; Armatimonadota
Also listed under: 5 other names
Description: tRNA-Leu
Rfam family: tRNA
About the family: Transfer RNA (tRNA) molecules are approximately 80 nucleotides in length. Their secondary structure includes four short double-helical elements and three loops (D, anti-codon, and T loops).
Source: RNAcentral